AACGAACGCUGGCGGCAUGCCUAACACAUGCAAGUCGAACGAACCCUUCGGGGUUAGUGGCGCACGGGUGCGUAACGCGUGGGAAUCUGCCCUUUGCUUCGGAAUAACUCAGGGAAACUUGUGCUAAUACCGGAUGAUGUCUUCGGACCAAAGAUUUAUCGGCAAGGGAUGAGCCCGCGUAGGAUUAGGUAGUUGGUGGGGUAAAGGCCUACCAAGCCGACGAUCCUUAGCUGGUCUGAGAGGAUGAUCAGCCACACUGGGACUGAGACACGGCCCAGACUCCUACGGGGGGCAGCAGUGGGGAAUAUUGGACAAUGGGCGCAAGCCUGAUCCAGCAAUGCCGCGUGAGUGAUGAAGGCCCUCGGGUCGUAAAGCUCUUUUACCAGGGAUGAUAAUGACAGUACCUGGAGAAUAAGCUCCGGCUAACUCCGUG
This 433-nucleotide ribosomal RNA is filed under the name uncultured bacterium. RNAcentral describes it as "partial 16S ribosomal RNA". It matches the Rfam family "Bacterial small subunit ribosomal RNA", at positions 29 to 507 of the family's 1533-position model. The record is from RNAcentral.